This 207-nucleotide long non-coding RNA is filed under the name Lathyrus oleraceus (garden pea). RNAcentral's name for it is "Pisum sativum (pea) long non-coding RNA (PSAT_LNC014204)". Lineage: Eukaryota; Viridiplantae; Streptophyta; Magnoliopsida; Fabales; Fabaceae. The record is from RNAcentral.
GUUAAUGUACGUUGUUGAUGUAUGUGGUUUUGAUGAGGGUUAUAGUUCGAUUUAGGUCUAGCAGAAAGAAUUUAGGGUUUGGGGUUUUUGGAAUUUUGGCUUCAUGUUGUUGUUUGGAUGUUUGAUUGUUGAUUAGGAGGUCAAUAUCUAUGAUUUGAUGUUGUUUUCAUUGUAUUUGGGUUUGUUUUUAAGGAUUUCUGGAAAAAU